CUGCCAGUAGUGUAUGCUUCUCCUAAAGACUAAGCCAUGCAUGCUCUGAAUAUGAGGAAGCAAUUCUCUCUGAAUCUGCGAACGGCUCCGCAAACCAGUUGUAAACCAUAGCAAGCAUGCACGGGUUGGGCUUCGGUCCGGCCUGGGCAAUACGGAUAACCCUGGUAAUUCUAAGGCUAAUACGUGUAUGGAACACCCGGUGGACCGGCUUCGGCUGGGAAACUGGGAGGUGGGUGAUAAUUGCUUGGGUAUUCCGGGAAAGGGCGCUUGCCUCGACCGCGCUACAAAGGACGGCCUCGUUUGGCAGUCCCAGCGGCUCUUGCGCGGUGCUUCUGACCUAUCAACUAGAUGGCAGCGUAAAGGACAUGCUAUGGUAACAACGGGUACAGAGGAUUAGGGUUCGAUCCUGGAGAGUGGGCCUGAGAGAUUGCUCAUACUUCUAAGGAAGGCAGCAGGCGCGCAACGUUCCCCUUGGGCAAUGCUCGAGGGCGUUAGGGGACAUAUGAAUGCCUGCCUAAUAGGUGGGCAAUUCAAAUGGGUCUGUUGUAAAUAGGCUCUCGAGUAACAAUUAGAGGACAAGUCUGGUGCCAGCACCCGCGGUAAUUCCAGCUCUAAGAGCAUACGUUAAAGUUGUUGCAGUUAAAACGCUCGUAGUCGGCGCAAGACCGGAAGAGACAACUGUAGGUGAGACGGUGUGUCCACGAUGGGCCCCCGAGGAUCUGCGGCAGGUGUGGGCAACGGUCGCUAGUACCACUGGCUGUAUCUUCGGAUUCACAGAGCCAGGCAACUGCUCCGGCAGGCGCCAGGUUCGGCUGGUGGCACCAGAUGCCACGAUAAAACUAGCGUGAUUAAAUCAGGUCAGCCGACCUGAAUAGAGUAGCAUGGCAUAUGUUCGCCGGCCGAGCCCUACCAAGCGGGGCUGAGCCGGCAAACGCGAAAGGGGCGGUCGAGGGUGACCGAAUUGCCGGGCGAGUGGUGAAAUACGUUGACCCUGGCAAGUCGAUCUAAGGCGAAAGCAGUCAUCAAGGCCAUUCCCGUUGAUCAAGAGCGAAAGUUAAGGGUUCGAAGACGAUCAGAUACCGUCGUAGUCUUAACUAUAAAUGAUACUGGCCAGGGACAGGAUUUCGAUGUCUGUCUCGACUCCUUUUGGACCUUGGAGAAAUUACGAGUCUUUGAGUUCUGGGGGGAGUAUGGUCGCAAGGCUGAAACUUAAAGGAAUUGACGGAAGGGCACACAAAGAGUGGAACCUGCGGCUUAAUUUGACUCAACACGGGAAAACUCACCAGGUCCGGAUACACGUAUGAAAGACAAGCUGAAAGACUUUUCUCAAUGAUGUAAGUGGUGGUGCAUGGUCGUUCUUAGUUCGUGGAGUGAUUUGUCUGGUCUAUUCCGAUAACGAGCGAGACCCCGACGUUCUUAGUAGGAGCUGUGGCGAGGUUGGGAUGUUUCGGCAGCCCGGCUGGCCACGGCUUUAAAGUGAUGCUUCUUAGACGUAUCAGGGCCGAAAAGGUCCUUGAAAUGGGUUAAUAACAGGUCAGUCAUGCCCUUAGAUGUUCUGGGCCGCACGCGCGUUACAAUGGCAUGGAAAGAGAGUGCUCCUUACAGGGCGUCCCCGCGGCCUAAAGGUCGCGGUAACCCCUAGUCCCUGCCUUGACUGGGACAGUCUUUUGCAAUUAUUGGUCUCGAACGAGGAAUUUUUAGUAGUCGCAGGUCAUUAGCCUGCGACGAAUGCGUCCCUGCCCUUUGUACACACCGCCCGUCGCUGCUACCGAUUGGGUUUUGCGGUUACGCGUUCAGAGGUCGUGGCUGAUGGCUGUUUCGGCGGCUAGAUGCUGUGGCCAAAGUUCUAAUUACCGCACGGCCUAGAGGAAGCAGAAGUC
This 1880-nucleotide ribosomal RNA is filed under the name Lamproderma scintillans. RNAcentral's name for it is "SSU rRNA". It matches the Rfam family "Eukaryotic small subunit ribosomal RNA". Lineage: Eukaryota; Evosea; Eumycetozoa; Stemonitida; Stemonitidae. The record is from RNAcentral.